This 381-nucleotide long non-coding RNA is filed under the name Mytilus galloprovincialis (Mediterranean mussel). Lineage: Eukaryota; Metazoa; Mollusca; Bivalvia; Mytilida; Mytilidae. The record is from RNAcentral.
UAAUUGUCUAUUUCCUCUAAAAAAAAGAAAGAAAGAGCCACGUCAUUAUGUAUAAAAGAAACACAAAAGGGCAUAUAGGCAAAGCAUUAUAAAUAUAGAAGACCAGAAUACAAAAAAUAUAUUAGAACAAUAGCGAGAUGUUUAAGUACAGAGCCACGAAAUAUGUAUCAAAGAAACACAAACAGUCACACGAACAAAGCAAAUAUAAAAGAUGAUGCAAAUAACACAAUGAUGGGAUGCAUAAUUAAAGAGCCGCGUCAAAUAGAUAUCACCAAAAACAGACCAAACAGUAAAAGUAAUAUUAAUAAAAACAAAUAAAAGAACACUAUAACACGUAUUAAGAUGAUAAAUAUCGUCAGCACUCAGAAUCUAUACUUCAAG